GUUACAUUAGUAUAAGUGUAUGUCUGAUUUCCAAUUAGAAGGAGAAAAAUGUAAUA
This 56-nucleotide transfer RNA is filed under the name Buthus occitanus (common European scorpion). Its description in RNAcentral is "tRNA-Gly". Lineage: Eukaryota; Metazoa; Arthropoda; Arachnida; Scorpiones; Buthidae. The record is from RNAcentral.